UAACAAGAAAACAAAUUUUAAAUAAAGUAAGAAGGAAACUUUUUUUAAAACCGGUAGCAAUUUUUAGAACAAAUCCGUAUGAUGGAUUAUUUUAUGAGACAAUCAAGACGACAAAACAAUGAUUUUGCAACACACAGAAGAACGGUUUUCUGUAGAGGAUGUUGUUCGUGUUCAUUUGAUGUGCGCGAACUUUGCUGUGCGGUAAAGAAUGAUCAAAGCGUGUGUCCAUUUAUUCAAGAUUUGGACACACGGUAUGAGGGUAAAAUUAAAGAUGGCAGCAAAGUUUAAAAAAUUGGCUGUGGUUAAAUUUCUUGAUGAAAAACAAAAAGCAUGUGUGCCAUGGACGUUAUCUGUUUGUAAUGGCUGUUCAAUGAAAGUUUAGUGUGUUGGCCAAAUCACUUGCGAUCAUCUCGCCAUUUAACUGCCAUAUGCGAAGCAGUACUUACUCCUGAAAAUAACUGGAAACAGCUAAAAAUAAGAUUUCUUUUUUAUUCUGACAGUUAUGAAUCUGCUGUAGAACAAAUGGAAACGUUAGAGUUCACAUCAAGCGUUGAAACAGCUGCUGAUAGUGAUGAAUAAUUGCCCAUGCCACCAGCUAAAAAGUUAGCAGGUUGCAACACAAGUGACACUGAGGAGACAUAUCCAUCAGUUUCCCCAAGAUUGAAGAAAUGUUUUAAUUGCCAAAAAAUAUUACAAUCCACAACUGUUUGAUUUAUUGAGCCAUUUAGUUCGAAUCGCUCUCUACCGAUAUUAUCCUCUUCUGAUAAGAGCUUGGCAAGCAACUGUUGUGGCUGCUUUAGGCACCCGAUUUGCUGCAUUUGAGAAAAAAAGUUUAGAGCUGCCUUGUCAGUAUUCAAUAUGAUUUGAAAAAGUUAAACACUCGCCUAAUCAAUUUAGAAAGAGGUUUAGUGUUUCCUUCUGUUAGCAAUCAGAGCAUAGCAGGACCAUUCCCAUCAGUUAAAUGGAAUUAUUUGCCUGUUAAAGAGGAAAAAGAACUUCUAGACCUGGAUGAAAAAUUACGGAACAAAUGCACCUAUGAAUCUUUGGUAUGCAUCAGUGAAUUGACAUCAGUUAAUAGUUUUUAUAAACAGUUCCAUGUGCAUUUAAAAUAUCUAUACUAUAAAAUUUACUAUACAUUUGAUUUUAAUUAAGAUAUGGAAAAGAAUGCUAUUUAUGAAAUUGUUUGUGGUUUUAACCAUUUAUGCUCAAUUAGCUCAUUUAGUAGAGCAAUGAUUCUAUUAAUCACAGGGAGCCUCGCAUUAGAUACUCGAGAUUGCAUUCACCCCAAUUUUUUUGCUGUGUUAAAGACAACCUAUGCUAGUGAAUGAAAAAUCUGAUACUAUAGUAUCAGAUUUUUUACUUAAUAUAUUGUGAAAUUAUUGGUUGGGGUAUAAGAAGCUCAUAAACCUGUAUGAAAUUUUGUGUGGUAUUCUUCCUAGUGUUUUUAUCAUUUUAUAAAACAUUUAUGACAAUAAGUCUUGAUCGCCAAAACAGCUUGACCUCAGAGAUUGCAUCUAUUUGAAACAAAUUGCUUUUUCUCCAUGUCAUAUUUGAAUAUCUCAUUAUAAAUGGUUUUUAAAUGGGUGUGCAGGUAAAUAUAAGAAUUGCAAAAAUAUGUUAAAUCUUUGUUUCCAUUGUGAAGAUUUUGGUUUUUCUGCUAAAUGGAACUUUUUUGCAACUAGUCAAGGUAAGCAACCUUGUUAUGGGAUAGGUGGUACAGUCAAACGUCUAGCAACACUAGCAAGUUUGCAAAGAGAUAUGGAUAAUCAUAUUUUAUCUCCACAAACAAUGUAUAAAUAUUGCAAUGAAAACAUUGAAGGCAUAAAUUUCAUGUAUAUUUCAUCAAAAGAUUUAACUUUGGUGAGAACCGCUCUUAAAGAACGAUUGGAUACUGCUAAAACAAUACCUGGAACACGUAGUUUCCAUCACUUUGUACCACGUGGCCAUCAAAAGGUAGGCACUAAGCUAUGCAGUUUUGAUGAAGAAUUUGCUUUACUUCAUGACUGGAAAUAUCCAAAUAACAGCUGUUAACCUAGUACCAGGUGAUUAUGCCUGUGUUUCCUAUGAGCAAAAGUGGAGAAUAGAAGUCAUUGAAGAUAUUAAUUUAGAAGAAAAAGAUGUGCUUGUAAAAUUUAUGUGUCCUAAUGGUCCUGCACGGUUGUUUAAAUGGACAUCAAAAGAAAGCCAAUGCUGGAUUCCUAAUAUCCACAUUAUUUGCAAAAUUGAGGUACCGAUAGCAAAAAACAGAACUUUGCUACUAUUUAGCCAAAGAGGACGUAAAAUUAUUUUCCUAAGGAAGUAGAAAUUUUUAUA
Molecule: non-coding RNA, 2313 nt
Organism: Hydra vulgaris (swiftwater hydra)
Lineage: Eukaryota; Metazoa; Cnidaria; Hydrozoa; Anthoathecata; Hydridae
Source: RefSeq, a predicted model, not a curated record